RNAcentral lists this ribosomal RNA (2253 nucleotides) under Triticum aestivum (bread wheat). Its description in RNAcentral is "partial small subunit ribosomal RNA". Lineage: Eukaryota; Viridiplantae; Streptophyta; Magnoliopsida; Poales; Poaceae. The record is from RNAcentral.
AUGGGUGAGAUAGCGGCGGACGAGCGCGGGCUCGCCGGCGGCAAGGGGUCGGAGUUGGAGGAGGAGGAGACGUCCCCGAUCGAGGAGGUGCGGCUGACCGUGCCGCCCGGCGACGACCCGACGCUGCCGGUGUGGACGUUCCGGAUGUGGAGCAUCGGGCUGCUCUCCUGCGCGCUCAUGAGCUUCCUCAACCAGUUCUUCUCCUACCGGACGGAGCCGCUGAUCGUGACCCAGAUCACGGUGCAGGUGGCGUCGCUGCCCAUGGGCCACUUCCUGGCGCGCGUGCUGCCGCGCCGCAGGUUCCGGGCGCCGGCGCUGCUCGGCGGCUGGGAGUGGAGCCUCAACCCGGGGCCCUUCAACAUGAAGGAGCACGUGCUCAUCUCCAUCUUCGCCAAUGCCGGCUACGCCUUCGGCAACGGCAACGCCUACGCCGUCAUGAUCGUCGACAUCAUCCGCGCCUUCUACGGCCGCUCCAUCUCCUUCAUCGCCGCCUGGCUCCUCAUCACCACCACCCAGGUGCUCGGGUACGGGUGGGCGGGGCUGAUGCGCAAGUACGUGGUGGAGCCGGCGCACAUGUGGUGGCCGAGUACGCUCGUGCAGGUCUCGCUCUUCCGGGCACUGCACGAGAAGGAGGAAUCUCCCAAGGGCUCGCGGCAGAUCUCCCGCUCCAAGUUCUUCCUGGUGGCGCUCAUCUGCAGCUUCGCAUGGUACGUCGUGCCGGGCUACCUCUUCCCGGCGCUCACCUCCAUCUCAUGGGUGUGCUGGGUCUUCUCCAAGUCCGUGACCGCCCAGCAGCUCGGCUCCGGCAUGAAGGGCCUGGGCCUGGGAGCUUUCACGCUCGACUGGUCGGCCGUCUCCUCCUUCCUCUUCAGCCCGCUCAUCUCGCCCUUCUUCGCCACCGCCAACAUCUUCGUCGGCUACUUCUGCUUCCUUUACGUGCUUGUGCCCACGGCGUACUGGGGGAUGAACCUCUACAACGCCAAGACGUUCCCCAUAUUCUCCUCGCACCUGUUCAUGUCUAACGGGUCGGCAUAUCAAAUCACUGACAUUGUGAACCAGCAGUUCCAGCUUGACACGGAGGCCUAUGCAAGGCUCGGAAGGAUAAACCUCAGCACCUUCUUCGCGCUGUCUUAUGGGCUCAGCUUCGCCACCAUUGCCUCCACCAUCACGCACGUCGGCAUCUUCUACGGGAAGGAGAUCUACCACCGGUUCCGUGCUUCGCAGCAGGAGGAGCCUGACAUCCACACAAAGCUGAUGAGGAAAUAUGACGACAUACCAGCGUGGUGGUUCUACUCCCUGACAGUAUUGUCAAUGACAGUGUCCCUCAUCCUCUGCACCGUCCUAAAGGACCAGGUUCAGCUCCCAUGGUGGGGCCUCCUCUUCGCCUGUGGCAUGGCCUUUGUCUUCACGCUCCCCAUAAGCAUCAUUACUGCAACCACUAACCAGACUCCUGGCCUGAAUGUCAUCACUGAAUACGCCAUGGGGCUAAUAAUGCCGGGAUACCCCAUCGCCAAUGUCUGCUUCAAGGUGUACGGCUACAUGAGCAUGUCGCAAGCAGUAGCAUUCCUCUCAGAUUUCAAGCUCGGACACUACAUGAAGAUACCUCCAAGAUCAAUGUUCAUUGUUCAGUUUGCCGGUACACUGGUGGCCGGGACUGUUAACCUCAGCGUGGCAUGGUGGCUACUUGGGUCUGUCGAGAACAUCUGCCAGGACCAACUGCUGCCACCAGACAGCCCAUGGACAUGCCCUGGUGACCGUGUCUUCUUUGAUGCAUCGGUCAUCUGGGGCCUUGUUGGCCCGAAGCGCAUUUUCGGGCCACAUGGUAACUACGAAGCCGUCAACUGGUUCUUCCUCAUCGGCGCAGCAGGCCCUGUCAUCGUGUACAUCUUCCACAGGAUAUUCCCCAGUCAGAGGUGGAUACUGAUGAUAAACCUGCCGGUGCUCAUCGGCGCUACAGCCAACAUGCCACCAGCGACGGCCGUGAAUUACAACUCAUGGCUGCUGAUAGGCACCAUCUUCAACUUCUUCGUGUUCCGGUACCGGAAGAAGUGGUGGCAGAGGUACAACUACAUCCUCUCUGCCGCGCUCGAUGCAGGCGUCGCGUUCAUGGCGGUGCUGCUGUACUUCACACUGACCAUGGAGAACCGGACAGUCAACUGGUGGGGCACGGCGGGUGAGCACUGUCCUCUGGCCUCAUGCCCCACUGCUAAAGGGGUGGACUUGGGCCCGGAUAGUGUGUGCCCUGUGUUCUAA